UUCUGUUGUAAAUUCGUGUUUCUGAGAUGAAGCUACUGCCAAUUUUGCUGAUCUCCCUUCUACUCAUACAGGUUAAUUUGACAAGAAAUGCUCCCAUCAAUAUUGUUAGCGUCGAGCCCGUUUCGAUUGCUUCUCAUAUAGUUGUCUGAAUUAAUAAAAAAAUGACAAGAAUUUUGAAAACAAAUUAAAUCAAGUAUGGUUAGAAAACUAUAUAUAGUUUGCUAAGUUUGUUUAUUUUUCAUUUUUUUUUUCUUUUUCAGGAUUUCGUUGAGGCAGAAUCAGUCAAUGGAGCUACAGAUAAAUUUCUGUCCCAAGCAGUAAAUCAUCUUCGAAUAUUUCGUUUAAUUAAUGCAUGUUGCUUUGGAUAUAUCAAAAUAUCUAUUUUUUGUUUUUUCACAAACUUUUUUAGGAGGAUGCAAAAGGGAUUCGAUCAGUCAUAUCAACAAAUAUAGACCUCCAAAUCGUGGUAACUAAUGAAAUCAUCUUUUGAAUAUUGAUCCUUGUCGAUUUGAAACAUACAUUUCUAAUUUUAUACUGCAUGUGUUGCAGAUUGCUUAAAAAAAUGCAAAAGAAAAUGUCGCAAUAAGUCGAGGCGGAGAGCCGAGUGCCGUCGAGCUUGCCGGAGCUGCUGCAGGAAAAAGUCUAAGUGCCCUUGAGAGUUUACACAUUGAUUAUGAAAUGAAAUUGUUGGAUUUUCAUGUUUGGAAUAAAUUGGUAUGGGAAAACUAAUAGAUUGACAUGAAUAAUGUUUUAGUAAAAAAUAAGACAGGUACGCGGUAUUGUAAUGAGUGGAAAAUUGUAACAUUAAUCGUACACAUAAAUCAUAAUAUGUAUCGCGAGCCCACUAUUAAGACUUUAAUAGUUGGGCACAUACAUAAUAUCUAAAUAAUUGACACUA
Molecule: long non-coding RNA, 898 nt
Filed under: Salvia miltiorrhiza (redroot sage)
Lineage: Eukaryota; Viridiplantae; Streptophyta; Magnoliopsida; Lamiales; Lamiaceae
Description: long non-coding RNA (SMIL_LNC000826)
Source: RNAcentral